Molecule: ribosomal RNA, 2057 nt
Filed under: seawater metagenome
Description: bacterial LSU rRNA
Rfam family: Archaeal large subunit ribosomal RNA
Source: RNAcentral
CUUCCGAUCUCUCGGCUCGAGAGCCGAAGAAGGUCGUGACAAGCUGCGAUAAGUUGUGGGGAGAGGCAUGAAUCUCUUGGAUCCACAAAUUGCUGAAUGGGACCUCCUGGCACAAUGUGCCAUUCCUAAAUGGAAAGGGAACCUCCUGAACUGAAGCAUCUCAGUAGGGAGAGGAAAAGAAAUCAAACGAGAUACCGCUAGUAGUGGCGAAUGAAAACGGUAUAGGACAAACCGAAUCUUCAUGAGAAAUCAUGAAGAGAUGUGGGGUAUGGAUCAUCUGUAAUCUGUCUUGCGGAAAUAGAAGUCGCCUGGAACGGCGCACCAUAGAGGGUGAAAGACCCGUAUAUGUACGCAAUAUGAUCAAGUGAUGAAUCCUGAGUAGCGUGCGUUGGAUAUCGCGCGUGAAUAUGGGAGGCAUAAACUUCCAAUCCUAAAUACUACUCGAGACCGAUAGUUGACAAGUAGCGUGAGCGAAAGCUGAAAAGUAUCCUUAGCGGGAUGUGAAAAGAACCUGAAACCAGUCGGGAACAAGCUGAAUAGGCGUGAAAGCGAAGAUAUGAGCAGCGUCUAUUCGUGCGUUUCGAAUAAUGCCCCUGGGAGUUCUGAUUAAUGGCGAGGUUAAGGAGUUGAUCUCCGAAGCCGAAGGGAAACCGAAAGGUCCGCAGCCGCUUAGGCGGUGAGGGACUGGGUGUGCUCGCCCGGAGUCAUUAGUGGGAGACCUGAAGCCUAUCGAUCUAUGCCUGGCCAGAUUGAAGCCCGAUGAAAGUUGGGUGGAGGAUCCAACCGUUGCUGAUGUGCAAAUCGCUCGGAUGAGCUGGGUAUAGGGGUGAAAGUCCAAUCGAGAUGGGCAAUAGCAGGUUCCGCGCGAGACUACUCGCAGGUAGAUCUUCGCAGAGAUAGAUUACGAUGUAGAGCACUGAUUGGGUAUUUAGGGGGAGCAAUUCCUCGGUACGCUGUCAAACUCCGAAGUUGUAAUCGUCGUAGACGCGAGGAGUGAGCCACGGUGGGUAAGCUACCGUGACGAAAGGUGAAGAAACCAGCUUAGUGUUAAGGUCCCAAAAUUACAGUUAAGUGUUAAUUACAAACGGAGUCCGUGGUCGAAGACAACUAGAAGGUGGGCUUAGAGGCAGCCAUCCUUGAAAGAGUUCGUAACAGAUCACUAGUCAAGCUUGCGGGCCCGAAAAAUGGACGGGACUAAAACUGUAUACCGAUACACUAAUCCUUCGAAAGAAGAUGAGGUAGCGCGGCGACAUGCUCGGGUAGAAGCUCGGUUUUGAGAUCGGGUGGACCGUGUAUGUAUGAGAAUCUAGGGAAGAGUAGCAGCAUAGUGCGGUGAGAAUCCGCACCACCGAAGGGGUAAGGGUUCCUCGGCAAUGUUUUUCAGCCGAGGGUUAGCCGAUCCUAAGGGCUUUCUUAAUCGAAGAGUCCGAAAGGGAAAUGCGUUAAUAUUCGUAUGCCCUUCUACAUUAAUGGUGACGGCUUGGGCUAGUUCGUACGUCUCUGUCAUGGGACGUCGAAGCGUAAUAAUCAAUUGGAGAACCGUCAUGGUGAGAAGAUUGAGAAGACGUGAGCAACGACGAAUGAGGCCUAGGUCCCAUGAAAAGCCGUAGAAGUGAUCGUACCAAGAACUGACACAGGUACCCAAGGUGAGUAGCCUAAGGUGUGACGGGCAAAGUAUCGUGAAGGAACUCGGCAAAAUAGCUCUGUAACUUCGGGAGAAGGAGUGCCAGCUUAGAGAUAAGCUGGUCGCAGUGACCAGGGGACUCCGACUGUUUAAUAAAAACAUAGGCGACUGCUAGAUCGAAAGAUUGUGUAUAGUCGCUGAAUCCUGCUCAGUGCCGGUAUCUGAAAUCGGGUUUCAACCUGACGAAGGACCGGUAAACAGCGGGGGUAACUAUGACCCUCUUAAGGUAGCGUAAUACCUUGUCGCUUAAUUGGCGACUUGCAUGAAUGGCCCAACGAGAGUCCCACUGUCUCCACGAUACGUCCGGCGAAAUUGACUUUACUGGCGCACAGUCCAGUAACCUCAACCUGCAAGCGAAGACCCCGUAGAGCUU